AACGAACGCUGGCGGCAUGCCUAACACAUGCAAGUCGAACGAGACCUUCGGGUCUAGUGGCGCACGGGUGCGUAACGCGUGGGAACCUGCCCUUAGGUUCGGAAUAACUCCCCGAAAGGGGUGCUAAUACCGGAUAAUGUCUUCGGACCAAAGAUUUAUCGCCUUUGGAUGGGCCCGCGUUGGAUUAGCUAGUUGGUAGGGUAAAAGCCUACCAAGGCGACGAUCCAUAGCUGGUCUGAGAGGAUGAUCAGCCACACUGGGACUGAGACACGGCCCAGACUCCUACGGGAGGGAGCAGGGGGGAAUAUGGGAAAAGGGGCGAAAGCCGGACCCAGCAAUGCCGGGUGAGGGAUGAAGGCCUUAGGUUUGUAAAGCUUUUUUACCCGGGAUGAUAAUGAAAGAACCGGGGAAAAAAGCCCCGGCUAACCCCGG
Molecule: ribosomal RNA, 432 nt
Filed under: uncultured bacterium
Lineage: Bacteria
Description: partial 16S ribosomal RNA
Rfam family: Bacterial small subunit ribosomal RNA
Source: RNAcentral